GAAUUUAAUAUGAAUUUUAAUUAAUAAAUUAUUUGUGAAUAAAUGAAUUAAAAUUUAUAUUUGAUUGGGAGGAUUAUUAAAUUAAAUUAACUUUAAUAAAAAAAAACAUUAAUUUAUGAUUUAAAAUUUUAUGAUUAAAAUAUUUUUUAUAAUAUUUUAUUAAAGAAUUAAUUACCUUAGGGAUAACAGCGUAAUAUUUUUAAAAAGAUCUUAUUGAUAAGAGUGAUUGC
RNAcentral lists this ribosomal RNA (230 nucleotides) under Camponotus novogranadensis. Its description in RNAcentral is "partial large subunit ribosomal RNA". Lineage: Eukaryota; Metazoa; Arthropoda; Insecta; Hymenoptera; Formicidae. The record is from RNAcentral.